AAAAGAAACCAACAGGGAUUGCCUCAGUAACGGCGAGUGANGCGGCAACAGCUCAAAUUUGAAAUCUGGCGCUUUCAGCGUCCGAGUUGUAAUUUGUAGAGGAUGUUUCGGCCACGACCACCGGUUAAAUUUCUUGGAACAGAAUGUCAUAGAGGGUGAGAACCCCGUCUUGACCGGUGUGUACGGGCCGUGUGGAACACCUUCGACGAGUCGAGUUGUUUGGGAAUGCAGCUCAAAAUGGGUGGUAAAUUUCAUCUAAAGCUAAAUAUUGGCCAGAGACCGAUAGCGCACAAGUAGAGUGAUCGAAAGAUGAAAAGCACUUUGAAAAGAGAGUUAAACAGUAUGUGAAAUUGUUGAAAGGGAAGCGCUGGCAACCAGACUUGAGGGCGGCAGUUCCCCGGGGCUUUUGCCCCGGUUACUCUGUCGUGUCCAGGCCAACAUCGGUUUCGGGGGUCGGUUAAAGGCCCUGGGAAUGUAUCUACCCUUCGGGGUCGACUUAUAGCCCAGGGUGUCAUGCGACCUCCCGGGACCGAGGAACGCG
Molecule: ribosomal RNA, 541 nt
Filed under: uncultured fungus
Lineage: Eukaryota; Fungi
Description: eukaryotic LSU rRNA
Rfam family: Eukaryotic large subunit ribosomal RNA
Source: RNAcentral